Molecule: long non-coding RNA, 155 nt
Organism: Scomber japonicus (chub mackerel)
Lineage: Eukaryota; Metazoa; Chordata; Actinopteri; Scombriformes; Scombridae
Exons: 3
Source: RefSeq, a predicted model, not a curated record
UCUGAUAGUGACGAUGGCAAGAAAAAGAAGAAAAAGAAAGAUAAGAAAAAGAAGAAGGAUAAGAAGAAGAAGAAAAAGAAGGAUUCUUCAUCUUCUUCCGACAGUGAUUCUUGUAGCGAUGAUGACAAGAAGAAGAAAAAGAAGAAGAAGAAAAA